RNAcentral lists this transfer RNA (72 nucleotides) under Lethenteron camtschaticum (Arctic lamprey). RNAcentral's name for it is "tRNA-Ser". It matches the Rfam family "tRNA". Rfam says of the family: Transfer RNA (tRNA) molecules are approximately 80 nucleotides in length. Their secondary structure includes four short double-helical elements and three loops (D, anti-codon, and T loops). Further hydrogen bonds mediate the characteristic L-shaped molecular structure. tRNAs have two regions of fundamental functional importance: the anti-codon, which is responsible for specific mRNA codon recognition, and the 3' end, to which the tRNAs corresponding amino acid is attached (by aminoacyl-tRNA synthetases). tRNAs cope with the degeneracy of the genetic code in two manners: having more than one tRNA (with a specific anti-codon) for a particular amino acid; and 'wobble' base-pairing, i.e. permitting non-standard base-pairing at the 3rd anti-codon position. Lineage: Eukaryota; Metazoa; Chordata; Hyperoartia; Petromyzontiformes; Petromyzontidae. The record is from RNAcentral.
AAGAAAGUGGCAGAUAUGGUUAUGCACCUGGCUUGAAACCAGCAUAGGGGGGUUCGAAUCCCUCUUUUCUUG